This is a long non-coding RNA of Equus caballus (horse), 1562 nucleotides long. The record is from Ensembl. NCBI's taxonomy places the organism in Eukaryota, Metazoa, Chordata, Mammalia, Perissodactyla, Equidae.
CCUCACUGAGGGCCAGACGGCCACAGCCUGGCAAGAAAGGGCGAUGCUGGUGGGCAGAGCGCUGUCCCUUGGGCUGGGUGCUCUGUGUCACUCCCCUUGCCAGCCUGGGGAUGCGGGCAAGACAAGGAUGGCCCUCUGAUUCACCUCGGUUUCCCCAAACCAGUGCGGGACCUGGCCUGGAGGAGGGGCUGGGUGAAAAGCUGGGGGUGAGUGAGCGAUGAGCGAGCGUGUGAGCACAUGAGUCAGAUCCACCAGGAUUUACUGAGUGCCCAUUAUAGGCCGAGCAUCACGCAGUGAGACAGGAGUGACAAUGGCCUUGUCCCUGGCCUCACAAAGCUUAUAGUCCGCUGGGGUGGGAUAUGAAACAGCACAAAGAGAGACAUCAUGGAAGGCCUGUUGGCUGUGGCAAGGAAUUUGGGAUUUAUCCUGAGUCUAACUGAAAGCCACUAAAAAGUUCCAACAGGGACAGAGGUGAGCAGACCAGCACUUUCUUAAAUGACUCUGGCUGCUGUGCGGAGAAUGGAUGGAAGGCGGAGCCAGUGCAGAGGCCACCACAGAGUGGAGCCUGGGACAUGGGGAGCUGGGCAUGCCCUGGAGACACCCAGGUCUAGAACAUCACCGCUAACGUCGUGCAGUUCCAGGGAGAGAGCAGCAUUGGCGGGAAGGGAUGAAGGCAGUGUGGGGCAGACUCCGGGGCGGAGGAGGGGGCGGGGCACGGAGGCGGCCUGGGAGCCCCUCCCUCUGUCUGUUUGCACAGCUGUCCAGGCCGAGCUGGCAGGGUGAGUCACAGGCUGGCACUCCACCUCCUCCACCUCUAGGGGAGGGCAACUUGGUGACCCUGGCCUUGGGGACCCUCCUCCUCUCUCCCUCCUCCCCUGCCUCUCUGAGCCCCACGAACUGUGCCCCUGUGCCCUCUCCUCCCAGCCACCUCCCAAGGCCUAGAUCUGGUUUCCCAGAUCCCCUCCACUCUGUCACUUUCCCCCCUGGAUGCACGGCCCUCCUCUGUCCCUCAUGUCCCAUCCCAGCUGCAUUAGAGUCACUCGUUUCCAGUCCCUGCAAGACGGCGAGCAGUUGAGGACACACUGUGGGCAGCUCUGGACACAUCUUUCCACUCUCUCGUCCCGCACACACUCAGUGCUUAAUGAACGUUCGGUGCAUUGAAUUAAACCUGCUUGAUUCACAUUUCUUGAGCUGGGAGGAAGAUCCAUCUCUUUCUCUGAUCUGACGGUGCUCAGGCUGGGGCAGGGUGGGGGACUUCUUCCCUGGGAGACCUGCCCCAGCUCUGGACGAUUGAGGAAGAUUUUUAUCACCAGGUUCCUAGUCUGCAAAAUGCCCCACCCAGCCUGUCUCCCAGCCCCCAGCCCCCUCCCCAGGUGCACAGAGAUCUCCCCUCUGGGACUCCCACUGCGCUAGCCUGGGGCCAAAGGCACAGUGUCUCCUGCCUGGGAAAGAGAGGGCCACCCUCCCUCAGUGUCAGUGACGGUUUACCCACUCGGCUUCCUGUUAGGUUUCUCCUUCCUUCCUUCCCCACCAGGCAUCUCUAAUCUUAAGCUUCUUAGGGG